Molecule: small nuclear RNA, 141 nt
Filed under: Castor canadensis (American beaver)
Lineage: Eukaryota; Metazoa; Chordata; Mammalia; Rodentia; Castoridae
Description: U4 spliceosomal RNA (ENSCCNG00000021871.1)
Rfam family: U4 spliceosomal RNA (bases 1-82)
About the family: U4 small nuclear RNA (U4 snRNA) is a component of the major U2-dependent spliceosome.
Source: RNAcentral
UGCUUUGUGCAGUUGCAGUAUCAUAGCCAAUGAGGUUUAUCCAAGGCAUGACUGUUGCUAAUUGAAAAAAAAAAAAAAAAAGAAUUUAAAAGCCCCUCUACUGUCCAAACUUUUACCUAUGAAUCCCAUCCUUUCAGUGGG